RNAcentral lists this ribosomal RNA (585 nucleotides) under uncultured bacterium. RNAcentral's name for it is "bacterial SSU rRNA". It matches the Rfam family "Bacterial small subunit ribosomal RNA", at positions 338 to 916 of the family's 1533-position model. The record is from RNAcentral.
CCUACGGGAGGCAGCAGUGGGGAAUUUUGGACAAUGGGCGAAAGCCUGAUCCAGCAAUGCCGCGUGAGUGAAGAAGGCCUUCGGGUUGUAAAGCUCUUUUGUCAGGGAAGAAACGGUGGGAGCUAAUAUCUCCUGCUAAUGACGGUACCUGAAGAAUAAGCACCGGCUAACUACGUGCCAGCAGCCGCGGUAAUACGUAGGGUGCAAGCGUUAAUCGGAAUUACUGGGCGUAAAGCGUGCGCAGGCGGUUUUGUAAGUCUGAUGUGAAAUCCCCGGGCUCAACCUGGGAAUUGCAUUGGAGACUGCAAGGCUAGAAUCUGGCAGAGGGGGGUAGAAUUCCACGUGUAGCAGUGAAAUGCGUAGAUAUGUGGAGGAACACCGAUGGCGAAGGCAGCCCCCUGGGUCAAGAUUGACGCUCAUGCACGAAAGCGUGGGGAGCAAACAGGAUUAGAUACCCUGGUAGUCCACGCCCUAAACGAUGUCUACUAGUUGUCGGGUCUUAAUUGACUUGGUAACGCAGCUAACGCGUGAAGUAGACCGCCUGGGGAGUACGGUCGCAAGAUUAAAACGUCAAAGGAUUGACGG